RNAcentral lists this long non-coding RNA (1332 nucleotides) under Marmota monax (woodchuck). The record is from RNAcentral. Lineage: Eukaryota; Metazoa; Chordata; Mammalia; Rodentia; Sciuridae.
CUCUAUUAUGUAAAUGUAUACCACAUUUUUUUUAUCACUUUAUUGGUUAAUGGGCCCCUGGGCUGGUUUUAACUCACAUUUAGACUUUAAACAUAAAUUAGGUUUAUUUAUUGAUAUUUUUAUCUCAACUAUUUUGUACAAAUAUAAAGGAAUCAUUCAUUUACUUUAUAACAUUUAACAUACUAAGUUAUUCCCAAUUAUUUAACACUAUGUACAAAUUUAUCUAUUUUCUUAGAAUUUUAAAAAUAAAUUUGAUUGUUUUAAACAUUUAGGCAAUAUUUUAAAUUUAAAGAAUAGAUUUUCUUCCCAGGCACCUAAACAACUCCUGCAAAUUAAUAAACUGCUUUUUAAAAUAAGCAUAUCAAGUUCUCAAAUUGUAAGCAUCUCAAAACUAGACAACAUAUAUAGAACUAUCUAAUUGCAAGACUUGCUAGCACAGUUGCAUAAAGGAUUCUUGCAUUAAUAAAAUAUCAGUAUAAUAUUUUCUUUCUUCAUACCUACAAUGUGCCUUCCUAGAGUACACAUGCUAAUAAAAAGUCUAUGAGGUACCACAAUUUUCUCCUUUAAUAACUGAAACCAAAAUAUGGAUGCUAAUUAGGUAGCUUAAAUAAUGUGGCACUGAUCAAGGCCUGUCUGUAAAUUCAGUGCUCACCCAGAUGUAGAGCCUGGGUCCCUUUCCAGGACUGACCUGACAGCUGUUGAGGUAGUGCUGUUUUUAGGUUCAGACUUUGGUUUUUGAAAUUGCAGUAUAUCUUAAUUCAGUCUAGUUCAGGUUUUUGUAACCCACUAUUUUACCUUAACACAGGGUAUCACUUCAUUCCAUUGUUAUAUUUCUCAAAACUCAUGAUAAUGGGACUUUCUGACUUCUCUGUUCUGACCACAGCAUUAUCUUCUUAAAUACUAGCUAAAUGAAUCCCUCACCUGGGUUGCAAUUUUACUUCCCUUUCUAUUUUAUAAUUCUUUCUUUGAAAUUUACUUUUCACUAGCACAUACAACAUUUUUACCUGUUUAUGUACAGUGUGACAAUUGUUGUAUAAUUUAUUCUUUCAGUGACUGGGAUUCAAACUGGGGCCUUGCACAUGCUAAGCAUACACCCUACUGCUGAACUAUAUACUUGUAACAUCUUUAACCACAAUAUUAUGGUCAUUUUACUGACAGAAUGAUACCAUUAUUGUUUUGGAUGAUCUUAUCUAAUUGUUAUGUAUUAAUAUAUUUUUGUCAUAUAGUUGGAAGAAAAGUUACUGAGUACUACUUAUCUUGCUUAUAUAAUGAUGAGUAAUUUCUUUGGCCCAAUUAUACUACUUAUGUUUUUAUGUAAUUAUUUUAAAGGUG